UCCGUGGCUACGAGGACGAACGCUGGCGGUGUGCUUCACACAUGCAAGUCGAACGAGGUAGCAAUACCUAGUGGCGGACGGGUGAGUAACGCGUGGGAAUCUGCCUUUAGAUGGGGGAUAACGGGUCGAAAGACUCGCUAAUACCGCAUAUGACGAAAGUUGAAAGGAGUAAUCCGUCUAAAGAUGAGCCCGCGUCCGAUUAGCUAGUUGGUAGAGUAAAAGCCUACCAAGGCGACGAUCGGUAGCUGGUCUGAGAGGAUGAUCAGCCACAAUGGGACUGAGACACGGCCCAUACUCCUACGGGAGGCAGCAGUGGGAAUUUUACGCAAUGGGCGAAAGCCUGACGUAGCGACACCGCGUGAGCGAAGAAGCCCCUUGGGGUGUAAAGCUCUGUCAGCUGGAACGAAAAAAAUGACGGUACCAGCAGAGGAAGCAUCGGCUAACUACGUG
Molecule: ribosomal RNA, 450 nt
Filed under: uncultured bacterium
Lineage: Bacteria
Description: bacterial SSU rRNA
Rfam family: Bacterial small subunit ribosomal RNA
Source: RNAcentral